Alosa sapidissima (American shad) is the source of this 171-nucleotide long non-coding RNA. RefSeq lists it as uncharacterized. The record is from RefSeq and is a predicted model, not a curated record. The transcript is spliced from 3 exons. Lineage: Eukaryota; Metazoa; Chordata; Actinopteri; Clupeiformes; Clupeidae.
GACGAUUGUUGUUCUACGCAGCCAGGUGACUUCGUCGGAGCUACGGAGCUUACUUCGUCCUCCACGGGCUGUUCAGACUACACUCUCGGAUAAAUUGGAUUGUACUGACGACCUACGUGUUAUUUAACCUGGAGCUUGCUCGGUUAAACUAACAAGGGCAAAAGGCCCCAU